CUUUUUUGCCCCUCUUUCUCUCUCUCUCUCUCUCUCUCCGCCAUCCUCUCUGCGAUCGGUCCCUGCCAUGUCUGGCUUCUCACCUUGUGGAAUAACCCUAAAAGCCUUUCCCAAUUCGAUCCACUUCGCUUCUUGAUCCUGUGAACGCUUGUCCUCAGCUUAGUUUUCUGGAAUUUUUGAACUUUUUUCACUUUUUUUUUAGAGAUCCGGAGUUACAGGAGAUGGACUUGAAUGGUUUGGGUGCUGGGGAUUUUUUGAGCCGGUGGAGCUUGGAGGAGGAGAAUGGAGCUUGAUCUCGUUGGGUUUGAUGCUGUUUGGGUGGAUUGAGAGUGGUUUUGUUUGGUCGGUGGUGAGUUGGGAGGUCCGGAAGCGGAUUUGAUGAGGAUUGGGAACGUGGAAGAGCUCAAGAUCGCUGGUUCAAGAUGCCUUUCGCUAAGCUCGAUGACUCUCCUAUGUUCCGUAAGCAGAUACAGUCAUUUGAAGAUAGUGCAGAAUUAUUGAGAGAGAGGUGUCUAAAGUUUUAUAAAGGCUGCCGCAAGUACACAGAACAACUUGGGGAGGGAUAUGAUGGGGAUAUUGCUUUUGCUAGCUCCCUUGAAACGUUCGGUGGUGGGCACAAUGACCCCAUCAGUGUUGCUUUUGGAGGGCCCGUCAUGACCAAAUUUACAAUUGCUUUAAGAGAAAUCGGAACAUAUAAAGAAGUUUUACGCUCCCAGGUUGAGCAUAUAUUGAAUGACAGACUACUGCAAUUUGUUGACAUAGAUCUGCAAGAUGUCAAGGAAGCACGUAAACGUUUUGACAAGGCCUGCCUUCAGUAUGAUCAGGCUCGUGAGAAGUACUUAUCACUAAAGAAAAAUGCAAAAGCAGAUGUUGCCACUGUCCUGGAGGAUGAGCUCCAUGUUGCAAGGUCUUCCUUUGAGCAGGCCCGGUUCAGUCUUAUUUCUGCAAUUUCUAAUAUAGAAGCAAAGAAGAGAUUUGAAUUUCUGGAGGCCGUUAGUGGGACAAUGGACGCUCAUCUUCGCUAUUUCAAACAAGGGUAUGAACUAUUACAUCAGAUGGAGCCAUAUAUACACCAGGUCCUAACUUAUGCACAGCAAUCAAGGGAAAGGUCUAACUGUGAGCAAAUAGCCCUUACAGAAAGAAUGCAAGAGUUCAAAAGACAGAUAGAUCGAGAAAGUCGAUUAUCUUCAUAUGGCACAAUUUCUUCUCCUAAUGGCGAUGGUAUUCAAGCUAUUGGAAGAAGUUCACAUAAAAUGAUUGAGGCAGUGAUGCAAUCUGCUGCAAAAGGGAAGGUCCAAACUAUCCGGCAAGGUUAUCUUUCAAAGAGGUCAUCAAAUUUGAGAGGUGAUUGGAAAAGAAGAUUUUUUGUCCUUGACAGUCGAGGAAUGCUCUAUUACUAUCGCAAGCAGUUUAGCAGGCCAUCUGCAAGUCAUAAUGCCAGGGGUCACGGUUCAUCUGAACAUGGAUCUGGAUUGCUAAGUCGGUGGUUCUCUUCUCACUAUCAUGGUGGAGUUCAUGAUGAGAAGUCUGUUGCACGUCAUACUGUUAACCUCCUGACUUCAACAAUUAAAGUUGAUGCAGAGCAAUCAGAUCUGAGGUUCUGCUUCAGGAUCAUCUCACCAUCUAAGAACUAUACUUUGCAGGCAGAAAGUGCUGCUGAUCAGAUGGAUUGGGUUGAAAAAAUAACUGGAGUCAUUGCUUCCCUUUUGAGCUCUCAGUCACCUGAGCAGCGCCUUCUUGCCAGCCCUUCAAGCAGUGGCCAUCAUCGUGCUGCAAGUGAGAGUAGUUCUUUUGGUAGCUCUUCUGAUCUUGAUCAUUUGGUUGAAGAACCAUCAGUGGAAAGAAACUUUGCUGCCGGGCAGUCAGAUAGAUCCGUUAGAAGCUCACAACAGCAUAGGUUCCACUCAAAACAUGAUAAACCGAUUGAUGUGCUGAGGAAAGUAUCUGGAAAUGACAUUUGUGCUGAUUGUGGUGCUUCUGAGCCUGAUUGGGCAUCCUUGAACCUUGGAGUUCUUGUGUGCAUUGAGUGUUCUGGAGUACAUCGCAAUCUUGGCGUGCAUAUUUCCAAGGUAAGGUCCCUUACACUGGAUGUUAAAGUAUGGGAGCCGUCUGUGAUUAGUCUAUUUGAAUCAUUGGGUAAUGCUUUUGCCAACUCCAUUUGGGAAGAAUUACUGCACAUGAAAAGCAAUGGAAAUAGUGGUGAAACUCCAAGUUUCUGUAAGUUUGAGAGCAGACAACAGCAGAUGUUUGUCAAUAAACCAAAGCAUUCUGAUCCUAUUUCAAUAAAAGAGAAGUUCAUCCAAGCAAAGUAUGCAGAAAAGGCUUUUACUCUGAAACCAAAGCCAGAUCAGGAUCACCUCUUUGUUGCCAGACAGACAUGGCAAAGCGUCCAUGCAAAUGAUAAGAAAGCAGUAUAUCAUCACAUAGUGUCUUCAAAUGCUAAUGUCAAUGCCGUGUACGGGCAUGCAUCAGCAUGCCCCUCAGCUUUAACUCUCGCAAAAGCAUUGCUUCUUCAAGAACAUUCAGGAUCAUUGUUGGAUCAAAGUUCUAGUUGCACUGUCAGCGAAUCCCUUCACAAGAGUUCUCCCACAAGCCCGCCUCAUUCAGUGAAAGCAACCGAAGACAGGAUUGAGUCGGGUGAAAUUAUUGAUGGCUUCUCCCUUCUUCACCUUGCAUGCCACACUGCGGAUGUAGCCAUGGUGGAACUUCUAUUACAGUACGGCGCCAUUGUAAAUGCUCCCGAUUUGCAAGGCCGGACACCUCUACACCAUUGCAUUAUCAAAGGAAAACUAGCAUUUGCCAAAGUGCUACUUUCCAGAGGAGCUGAUCCACAUGAUUGUGAUAUGUACGGCAAAACCCCUUUACAGUAUGCCGUGGAGGCUGGAACCAUCAAUGACGAAGAGAUUCUUGUUCUGUUAGAGGAUACACACAGAUAGCAGAUACCCGGCUUAUAUGAUUUUUGUAAUUCCAGCAAGGCAUCAAAGGGCUGAAACUCCAUAAACUUCAUAAUUACAAAGUUUUGUUUUCGCAGCCAGCGUCGACAUUUAUUCCAGCAUUGAGGCAAGCGUUUGACUCCGAGAUGUCUAUAAUCUUUGCUAUCUAUUUAUUUGAUUCGGUUUUAUCUGGUUUCCAGUCAGCUUGCUGUGUGUGAGGUUUGUAAAUUAUCGAUAUCGAGUUCAAUGUGUCAGUGUUAUUUUGCAUAUGCUUGCUCAGUUACUGGAAAUCUGUAUAUAUAUAUAUAUAUAUAUGCUUGAUUCAAUAGUGAGAUACCAAUUGGAGGAUAUAUGUAUGAACAUUUCAUCAUUUGGAUAAUCUCAUGGAUUUGUUGUUGUU
RNA transcript from Dioscorea cayenensis subsp. rotundata (Guinea yam), 3333 nucleotides. It is a transcript of the gene named ADP-ribosylation factor GTPase-activating protein AGD3-like, with no coding region annotated. The record is from RefSeq and is a predicted model, not a curated record. Lineage: Eukaryota; Viridiplantae; Streptophyta; Magnoliopsida; Dioscoreales; Dioscoreaceae. The transcript has 20 exons.